GUCUCCUAGAAGGGAGCAACCACAAAUUUAUGCACAUUGGACAUGCACGGCAAGCACCCAAGACCCCUCGUGAACGCCAGUCUGUACAGACUGUGCGCUGCUCCCUGCUGUAUCCCCUGAAAUUCACUCUGCACGAAGGACCUGUGGUCUCCUGAGGACAAGGCUCCACACAAAAGAGGACAGCACUUGCAAACAUCUCAUUAGAGGCUGCUCCCAGGCUCCCUGUAUGCUGUCAGCACAAUUUUCAGACACGAGAACCAUGCACCCCACCAUUGCCACACACAGACCAGGGAGCAGGCUGUCAAGCUGCUCCUGACAGCAGCUCCUACAUGGAGCCCGACAGAAGUGGGGUAGCUGCAAUUACCCCCAGAGCCCGCUGUGACAGACAGCAGGAGGGUGGUGUGCACAGUGAAGCGAAGGCUGGUGGAAGGUCUUGAAACAGAAUUGCUCACCCACAGUCACUUCUGCAGAAGGAACAGGCAGUGUCAGGCUCCUUAGCUGUUAGCCCAAUGAUUUCCACCAGUUUUAAAUCUGCUGAGGCAAAUGAGCUCUAAUAACCCUUAGGGGAAAAUAUAGUUCAGGGGACAGACGGACAACAGUCUGUGGUAAAACAUUGAUUAUUAUGAAAGUCAAACCCCAUUUCCUUUAGCUGCCAGGUUAGACCCCACUCAGAGGAGACCAAGGAUUGGAUACAAAAAGCCUGUUUCACCCAGCCAUCCACUGUGUGACAGAGCUGCAGGGGAGUAUUUUCAUUUUGUGCUAUUUUGGAUGCUGUCAGCUAGUUACCAACCAGAAUGUAAAAGCUGUCCCUCCUUCCUUGUCUCCUGCACUAAUGACUACAUGUGCAAAAGCUGACUUUUGGCAGUUGCAGAGGGAGCUCUGAGCCAUAGGCAGAGAAAUACUCUGAGGACCGAGCUCUAGAGUUGUUCUGGAAACACAAAGCAAACUAAUCACAGAGCAGGAUGUGGUCUGUUUUGCUUUUGCUUCCCAGUAAUUUCCCUUGGGUCCAGCACGUUUUCAAUGCCUUCUACCAUUGUUUGCUUAACGUCCUUCACAUUUACACUUCCCUGACUUCAACCUAAGACAUCUCUCACUUAUUCCAAAAGACACAACAGUGGCACUCAGAUACUUAGAAAUCUUCCCUGCACACCAAGAAAUCAUUUCAAAAUUGUUUUUCUUGGCCCCUGUUCUGUUACACCAUGAGGAAAAGGCAGGUGCAAGCCUGCAGAUGUUAAUAGGGUGAAGAAAUGAUACCAGUUAAUAUGGCAGGAAGUGCACCAUUGGGACAAAUUUUCUGCUGCUUUAUACCUCGUACAGCUAUUUCUGUCAAUGCAGCAGCAGGCUGCUAAUCAAGGUCUCAGUUUAUCACUCUUCAGCAGCUUGCAGGGGCUGUAAGGCAUUAGCUAAUCGGAAUGGUAUGCUGAAAAUUACAGCCCCAUAGAAAGGUAAGUAAGAGUCUAAGCCAUUUCACCACAGGCACCAAUAUCGGCAGGGGGAAGGGCAGUGAGGAAUACGCCUCAGUUCCUUCUGGGAAAAUAAUUUGCUAUUAAAUGGAAAGGAGCAGUGAAUGAAGAGGGAAAAGGCUGAGCUGAUUAAUCCAGGCUAAGAGACACCCUGGCUGGUGUCAGUGGGUGUUUUCCUGAUCUGGCCUGUGACCUCCUUGCUUCAGAAGGCCAUUCAGACUUUCUGACACUUUUCUUCCAAGGCACUGUCUUUCCUCUGCCCUGCUCACAGACCACUGCAGCCUCCUCCUCUCCAGCUCCUAGCCCUACUGCAGUCACCUCUUCUUCCUGCCCUGCUGACAAGACCCUCGCUGAGCACGGUCUCCGGAACAAAACGCCGUGUUCUCACACAGAUCUCACCCAAACUGCAAAAUCUACCGUGUGAUCACUUCCCCCUCUGUCCUGCUCCUCUUUGGUGAGGUGCUAGAGAGCCGGUUUUGCUGCUUGGACACAUACUGUCCUUUCUGAGCCAGCGGUCUGGCAGCAGCCCCUCUCCCCACCAACAGGCAGAUGUUUCCAGUUCUUCCAUUUCCAUACUUCGAGGUUUAACACCUGAGCGAGACUGCCCCACAGAGCUGCUGCAGGCCACCUUGGACCAGCUUUCGCAGUCGGUCUUCACAACAGAGCCUUUGCCCAUCUGCGAGAUGUGUUCAGUCAGGUGUUGGGUUUUCCUCCUGAAUGUUCACAAAACCAGUGAAUGGCCCAGAACAGACACCUGUGCAACCUGAACAGAAAUAGCGUCACCCAGCCCAGGUUCCUGGGAUGCCCUUGGAGAUCAUCUGAUAACUGUGUUGACUCAUUUCACCUGGGAGUUAAGACUAUUGUAGAAGGUUGGCUUUGAAAUUAGAUAACAUUAAAGAUGCUUAGAC
Molecule: long non-coding RNA, 2371 nt
Organism: Cygnus olor (mute swan)
Lineage: Eukaryota; Metazoa; Chordata; Aves; Anseriformes; Anatidae
Exons: 2
Source: RefSeq, a predicted model, not a curated record